RNAcentral lists this ribosomal RNA (497 nucleotides) under uncultured bacterium. RNAcentral describes it as "partial 16S ribosomal RNA". It matches the Rfam family "Bacterial small subunit ribosomal RNA", at positions 28 to 507 of the family's 1533-position model. The record is from RNAcentral.
GAUGAACGCUGGCGGCGUGCCUAAUACAUGCAAGUCGAGCGAACAGACGAGGAGCUUGCUCCUCUGACGUUAGCGGCGGACGGGUGAGUAACACGUGGAUAACCUACCUAUAAGACUGGGAUAACUUCGGGAAACCGGAGCUAAUACCGGAUAAUAUAUUGAACCGCAUGGUUCAAUAGUUAAAGACGGUUUUGCUGUCACUUAUAGAUGGAUCCGCGCCGCAUUAGCUAGUUGGUAAGGUAACGGCUUACCAAGGCGACGAUGCGUAGCCGACCUGAGAGGGUGAUCGGCCACACGGGAACUGAGACACGGUCCAGACUCCUACGGGAGGCAGCAGUAGGGAAUCGUCCGCAAUGGGCGAAAGCCUGACGGAGCAACGCCGCGUGAGUGAUGAAGGUCUUCGGAUCGUAAAACUCUGUUAUUAGGGAAGAACAAAUGUGUAAGUAACUAUGCACGUCUUGACGGUACCUAAUCAGAAAGCCACGGCUAACUACGUG